Onychostoma macrolepis is the source of this 580-nucleotide long non-coding RNA. RefSeq lists it as uncharacterized. The transcript is spliced from 3 exons. NCBI's taxonomy places the organism in Eukaryota, Metazoa, Chordata, Actinopteri, Cypriniformes, Cyprinidae. The record is from RefSeq and is a predicted model, not a curated record.
AGUGAGAGAAUGGCGCCAAAACUGUUUACGCAGAUAAAAUAAAGACGGAGCUGAAUCGGAUUAUUUCGGGAGCUUUUUGCCCGACAUACACAACAAGUCAUUUAGACAUUUGACACAGUUUUUUUAUUUUUUUCACACAUACAGAUUGGUUCUACGCAGUCAAUCCGUUUUGCAGUUCUUUAAACUGUUGUUUUCUCUUGCAAAUCACUGUUCACAUGCGUGCAGUGCUUUUGACCAUAUUUUGGCGGGAAAAAACGUGCCAAAAGUCGUGAGGUUUUCUGCCAUACUGAGCAAGAACUGAUAAAGACGGUUUCUGGGCGGUCUGGUGCCAAAUUUUACAUAUUGACAAGAAACUAAUGAGGAAUUUAAACAUGUAUAACAAGCACCUUGGGAAAACCUGUAAACCUUCUGAUGUAGCUAACCCUGACAUCCUUCUGCAUUUCUUGGAAAAACUUUUGACAUGUGUUAAGACUGCAUUUAGCCAAAGCUAAAUUAAAAUUAUGAAGGGUCUUUUGUUUUUUUGUUUUUUCAUAAAUGUAUUAUUUCAUUUACAUUGACCGUUGCAGUAUAUAAUUUUGUA